CUCCCUGCAAAAUUGUGAAGGAAGAUGCUUUCCUGCUUAGUCCAAAAGCUGCCUGUACCUAGUGUGAUGGAGAAAACUAAAGGAACAAAGAGGAGGCACAUGAAAAAAUCAUAAUGGAAGCAGACCAUCACAGAUACAGCCAAGACAUAAAUUGGAAAUUUGCACCAACAUCAGAUUACACAGAGACAGCACUUUGAUAUCACCUGAAUUAUCAUGGCUGCAUCAUACAGGAUCUUGGGAUCUGUAGCUUGGCGAGCUCUCAGACCUCUCUGGCAAUAAAUUCUAAAUGAUGC
Long non-coding RNA from Sceloporus undulatus (fence lizard), 293 nucleotides. RefSeq lists it as uncharacterized. The record is from RefSeq and is a predicted model, not a curated record. The transcript is spliced from 3 exons. NCBI's taxonomy places the organism in Eukaryota, Metazoa, Chordata, Lepidosauria, Squamata, Phrynosomatidae.